Molecule: transfer RNA, 95 nt
Filed under: Vibrio phage phiKT1024
Lineage: Duplodnaviria; Heunggongvirae; Uroviricota; Caudoviricetes
Also listed under: 2 other names
Description: tRNA-Ser
Rfam family: tRNA
About the family: Transfer RNA (tRNA) molecules are approximately 80 nucleotides in length. Their secondary structure includes four short double-helical elements and three loops (D, anti-codon, and T loops).
Source: RNAcentral
GGAGGACUAAGCCGAGAGAUUACUGGUUACCGGCAACUGUCUUGAAAACAGCCGAUCCUUGAAAGGGUGUGUGGGUUCGAAUCCCACGUCCUCCG